CCAUCCCCUUCCGCGUGGAAAUAUCUGCUGCCCCCUCUCCUUCCACUUCAUCCCUCUGCGCCGCCUUCUCUCCUCCCGAUUCGCAUCUUCCCCCAAUCCCCGCCUCCUCUCUUCCUCCCCAAUCCCCGCCCAACGAUCCGCAGAGUAGAGAACCAAGAAGGAGGAGGGACGUGAAGUGGAGAAGAGGGGGUGCGGCAGAGGAGACCUAGGCGGCGGCUCGAGCAGAGGAGCGGGGCCUCGAGAUGCCGCGUCCAUCGCUCACCCGCCUCAAACCAACCGCCGCCAUGGAGAACGACGAACAGUAGGGGAGGCCCGUGGUGGAGGGAGGAGCUAUGGGCACCAUGCUGGGAUGGCCCGCUGAUCUAUGACCCGUCCCCGUCGUCUUGGGUGUGGCUUGCUUGGUGCCAUACUGCUGUGCCCGAUGCACGGCCGGGCUGCCGGGGCACGGUGGACGUGCGUGUGUCACUCCGUGGGGUUGCUGCCGCGUCGCGUGCGUCUGCCAUGCCCAGGCUGCUGAGUGCCCUUCUUCCUUGUCUCCGCCCCGUUGCACCCUCUCCUCAUGGCCGCCUAGCUUCCUUCGACUGACCUCUGCUGCGGUCUGUUGCGGUGGCCUCCUUUGCUCUAUGGGCACCACUGGUUGGGUUCGUGUUGUUGUUCUUCUUGUGUUCUUCCCCACGCCUCUCUUCUUGCUUCGCUCUACUAAUUUCACAUAGUUGGGCCCCUUUCGAUUGUGUGCAACUUGGUUCGACUUGCCGUUGUCGCCUGCGUCGAGCCGUGGGUCUUUCUAUCCUCGUUCUGGUUGUUUUCCUCGUUUGUCCUGAUGUUUGGAUUGCGUGCUCCUCCUUCCUAGCUUUGGUUGUACGAUCUCGCCCGUUGCUGCUUGCCAUUUGGUUACGUGGUACAGUGUGAAUCCGGUGGCUGCCCAGAUCUGAACUGCACGUGGGGGCCGGUGUUCUCGGCCAGAUUUGGGCAUUCUUGCUGACUUUCUGUCUAACCUAUCCACAAGUUGUAUGAUCUUUUCCGUUGCUGCAUCUCUGUUCUGCUCGUUGCUUCAUCGCCGUUACAAUUUUUGAGAUAUCUAAGCUGACGUCUCGAAUAGUUCAGAACAGUCAGUCGGAACUGCAGGAGUCAUCUUCACCUUAAUCUAAAAUAAGAAGGUUUUCCUUUUGCUAGAUUUCUGAAAAAUCUGCAGUGGAGUAAGCGCUGGCAUUACCUAUUGCUCUGGUUUUUGAAGUUAAUUGCAGCUGGCAAAGCUUGCACCGAUGUUUUGAGUUCCAUCUUUCGCUGUGUGGAAGCUACUGAAUUCUAUAGUAGUGGAACACUUGUUCUGGUCUGGUCAUCUUGUAAUUUUCCUUUUUGCAGCUUAACUAUUGUAGGGUAGACAGACUCUAUACAUACUGAAGAAAUGUGCCCAUCCGACAGUCCUCACAGUUGUAGACUUGUAGUGAUAGCUUUGGGUACUGUAUGCACUCUUUCAUGUAAUUGUGCUACCCCGGCGAAAUUUAUAAUUAUGAUCUCACAUACUUCAACUUAGAUCUCAGGAAGCGUGGGUGCACUACAUUGUGGAAUGAAGGGAGCAUCUUAUACUGAGUUUAUGAGGAAACAACUGGACUGAUGUUAAUAAUCCAGUGUUGACAAUAAAAGAAGGUGGAAGCACAUUGAGUGGCUUUAGUUUUGUUACCGGACGUACAAUGUACCUUUACUGCACUGUUAUGGAUUCAGAUAAACUGGGCGUGGUGCAUGCCUUUGUAUUGUGUUCGUGAAUGUUGCUUUCUCCAUGUCAAGUCUUUUGUUCUUAGAAAAAAACUCUUUUGUUGCAUCCACAUUAACCAUAUAUAUUUCUAUUUCUUUUGUUCGAAUUGUAACUUGUUGGUACAAAAUAAAGGC
This 1887-nucleotide ribosomal RNA is filed under the name Triticum aestivum (bread wheat). RNAcentral describes it as "partial small subunit ribosomal RNA". The record is from RNAcentral. Lineage: Eukaryota; Viridiplantae; Streptophyta; Magnoliopsida; Poales; Poaceae.